Molecule: ribosomal RNA, 205 nt
Filed under: Siganus javus (streaked spinefoot)
Lineage: Eukaryota; Metazoa; Chordata; Actinopteri; Siganidae
Description: partial 16S ribosomal RNA
Source: RNAcentral
GCCCAUUAGCUAGCCCACCAUCCAAAACCAACAUACCCCCAUACAUACCCCCAAAUACACUUAUUUACCCCAAACAAACCAUUUUUCCCCCUUAGUAUAGGCGAUAGAAAAGGACUUAAGGAGCAACAGAGAAAGUACCGCAAGGGAAAGCUGAAAGAGAAAUGAAACAACCCAGUAAAGCACAAAAAAGCAGAGAUACCCCCUC